RNAcentral lists this ribosomal RNA (287 nucleotides) under Aegla castro. RNAcentral's name for it is "partial 12S small subunit ribosomal RNA". Lineage: Eukaryota; Metazoa; Arthropoda; Malacostraca; Decapoda; Aeglidae. The record is from RNAcentral.
UAUUUUAGUCUUGUUAGAGGAACCUGUUUUAUAAUCGAUAAACCACGAAUAUUCUACUUAUUUUAAAUAAUUUGUAUACCGUCAUUAUCAGAUAACUUUUAAAAAAAUUAGUUAUUAAAAUUAAAUAUAAUUAAAUAUAUUAGAUCAAGGUGCAGUUAAUAAAUGAGAAAAAAUGGGUUACAAUAAAAUUUAUUUAUAACGAAUUAUAUAAAUGUAAAAAUAUAUGAAGGAGGAUUUAAUUGUAAUUUUUUUUAUAAAAUAAUAAUAUGAUAAUAGCUCUAAAAUAU